UGUUUAUUGUACCUUGUUGCUUCGGUGCGCCCGCCUCACGGCCGCCGGGGGGCUUCUGCCCCCGGGUCCGCGCGCCCCGGAGACACCAUUGAACUCUGUCUGAAGAUUGCAGUCUGAGCAUAAACUAAAUAAGUUAAAACUUUCAACAACGGAUCUCUUGGUUCCGGCAUCGAUGAAGAACGCAGCGAAAUGCGAUAACUAAUGUGAAUUGCAGAAUUCAGUGAAUCAUCGAGUCUUUGAACGCACAUUGCGCCCCCUGGUAUUCCGGGGGGCAUGCCUGUCCGAGCGUCAUUGCUGCCCUCAAGCACGGCUUGUGUGUUGGGCUCCGUCCCCCCGGGGACGGGUCCGAAAGGCAGCGGCGGCACCGAGUCCGGUCCUCGAGCGUAUGGGGCUUUGUCACCCGCUCUGUAGGCCCGGCCGGCGCCAGCCGACAACCAAUCA
This 441-nucleotide ribosomal RNA is filed under the name Penicillium sp. E6820a. Its description in RNAcentral is "eukaryotic LSU rRNA". The stretch from base 138 to 291 matches the Rfam family "5.8S ribosomal RNA". Lineage: Eukaryota; Fungi; Ascomycota; Eurotiomycetes; Eurotiales; Aspergillaceae. The record is from RNAcentral.